Molecule: unclassified non-coding RNA, 326 nt
Filed under: uncultured fungus
Lineage: Eukaryota; Fungi
Description: partial contains small subunit ribosomal RNA, internal transcribed spacer 1, and 5.8S ribosomal RNA
Rfam family: Eukaryotic small subunit ribosomal RNA (bases 1-73)
Source: RNAcentral
GCAAACUUGGUCAUUUAGAGGAAGUAAAAGUCGUAACAAGGUUUCCGUAGGUGAACCUGCGGAAGGAUCAUUAAAGAGUUAGGGUCCCCUGGGCCCGACCUCCCAACCCUUUGUUUACUGAACCUCUGUUGCUUCGGCGGUGACCCGUCUCACGACCGCCGGAGGACCGCCCCCUCAGGCGUCCUCUGGCCAGUGUCCGCCGAUAGCCAACCCUUCAAAACUUCCGAAUAAAUCAUGCUCUAUGUCUAAGUCCUAUGAUGUAAAUCAAUAAAAGCAAAACUUUCAACAACGGAUCUCUUGGUUCUGGCAUCGAUGAAGAACGCAGC